Molecule: small RNA, 494 nt
Filed under: Histoplasma capsulatum var. duboisii H88
Lineage: Eukaryota; Fungi; Ascomycota; Eurotiomycetes; Onygenales; Ajellomycetaceae
Description: Histoplasma capsulatum H88 hypothetical RNA
Source: RNAcentral
GGACAUACACGAUCACCACUCACGGCGGAUCUUACUGACAUCUCAGGUUGUUAAUACGUUUGUCAGGUCUCCGCAGGCUGUGGAGUUACAGUUGAAUAUGGUUAGAACGGGUCGCCGUUCGAUCAGGAGUUUGUUGUCCUGGCAGAAGCUUCCACACUAGAUCCUCGAGUUCCUCCCUCCUGUUUUCUUCAUGGACGGUAACAAAACGGCAGGUUUAGAACAUCGCAUCAUUUUAUGUUUGUUGCAUUAGAUAUUGGCUCUUGAGGCAGGGUCUAAUCCAUUUGCAGGAUGGUAAAUUCGAUUAUGUGUUUUGCUUGUCAUGCUCAUCACCCUCAUCACCCUUGACGGAGCCAAAAUAUUGCGAAUUGUUCAAAACACAGACUAAUGUCGUUACCAGCAGCUCUCUUAUUUCUUUUGUCCAAGAAAUGGAGGAACGCUAGGUGAGCCUGAAGACUUUAUUGGAAUCAGGCUUCGAUUUCGAGAUCUCCAUAUGA